RNAcentral lists this ribosomal RNA (249 nucleotides) under uncultured Sphingomonadaceae bacterium. RNAcentral describes it as "partial 16S ribosomal RNA". It matches the Rfam family "Bacterial small subunit ribosomal RNA", at positions 355 to 621 of the family's 1533-position model. The record is from RNAcentral. Lineage: Bacteria; Pseudomonadati; Pseudomonadota; Alphaproteobacteria; Sphingomonadales; Sphingomonadaceae.
UGGGGAAUCUUGGACAAUGGGGGCAACCCUGAUCCAGCGACGCCGCGUGGGUGAUGAAGGCCUUCGGGUUGUAAAGCUCUUUUGCCCGGGAUGAUAAUGACCGUACCGGGAGAAUAAGCCCCGGCUAACUCCGUGCCAGCAGCCGCGGUAAUACGGAGGGGGCUAGCGUUGUUCGGAAUUACUGGGCGUAAAGCGCACGUAGGCGGCUUUUCAAGUCAGAGGUGAAAGCCCGGGGCUCAACUCCGGAAU